This 232-nucleotide ribosomal RNA is filed under the name uncultured bacterium. Its description in RNAcentral is "partial 16S ribosomal RNA". It matches the Rfam family "Bacterial small subunit ribosomal RNA", at positions 15 to 236 of the family's 1533-position model. The record is from RNAcentral.
GAUCCUGGCUCAGGAUGAACGCUAGCUACAGGCUUAACACAUGCAAGUCGAGGGGAAACGACAUCGAAAGCUUGCUUUUGAUGGGCGUCGACCGGCGCACGGGUGAGUAACGCGUAUCCAACCUGCCCAUCACUUGGGAAUAACCUUGCGAAAGUAAGACUAAUACCCAAUGAUAUCUCUAGAAGACAUCUGUAAGAGAUUAAAGAUUCAUCGGUGAUGGAUGGGGAUGCGU